RNAcentral lists this ribosomal RNA (982 nucleotides) under Plasmodium cf. vivax FP-2013. RNAcentral's name for it is "SSU rRNA". It matches the Rfam family "Eukaryotic small subunit ribosomal RNA", at positions 635 to 1407 of the family's 1831-position model. Lineage: Eukaryota; Apicomplexa; Aconoidasida; Haemosporida; Plasmodiidae. The record is from RNAcentral.
UGANNNAANGNAUCGACAUUUUAAGUAACGCUUCUAGCUUAAUCCACAUAACUGAUACUUCGUAUCGACUUUGUGCGCAUUUUGUAUUAUGUGUUCUUUUAAUUAAAAUGAUUCUUUUUAAGGGUUUUCCUCACUUCGGUGUUGAUUCCCUUGUUACUUUGAGUAAAUUAGAGUGUUCAAAGCAAACAGAUAUAGCAUUGCGCGUUUGAAUACUACAGCAUGGAAUAACAAAAUUGAACAAGUCAGAAUUUUGUUCUUUUUUCUUAUUUUGGCUUAGUUACGAUUAAUAGGAGUAGCUUGGGGGCAUUUGUAUUCAGAUGUCAGAGGUGAAAUUCUUAGAUUUUCUGGAGACAAACAACUGCGAAAGCAUUUGCCUAAAAUACUUCCAUUAAUCAAGAACGAAAGUUAAGGGAGUGAAGACGAUCAGAUACCGUCGUAAUCUUAACCAUAAACUAUGCCGACUAGGCUUUGGAUGAAAGAUUUUAAAAUAAGAAUUUUCUCUUCGGAGUUUAUUCUUAGAUUGCUUCCUUCAGUGCCCUAUGAGAAAUCAAAGUCUUUGGGUUCUGGGGCGAGUAUUCGCGCAAGCGAGAAAGUUAAAAGAAUUGACGGAAGGGCACCACCAGGCGUGGAGCUUGCGGCUUAAUUUGACUCAACACGGGAAAACUCACUAGUUUAAGACAAGAGUAGGAUUGACAGAUUAAUAGCUCUUUCUUGAUUUCUUGGAUGGUGAUGCAUGGCCGUUUUUAGUUCGUGAAUAUGAUUUGUCUGGUUAAUUCCGAUAACGAACGAGAUCUUAACCUGCUAAUUAGCGGCAAAUACGAUAUAUUCUUACGUGGGACUGAAUACGGUUGAUUUGCUUACUUUGAAGAAAAUAUUGGGAUACGUAACAGUUUCCCUUUCCCUUUUCUACUUAGUUCGCUUUUCAUACUGUUUCUUUUUCGCGUAAGAAUGUAUUNGCUNGAUUGUAAANNUCUAGANNANC